CCUACGGGAGGCUGCAGUAGGGAAUAUUGCUCAAUGGGCGAAACCCUGAAGCAGCAACGCCGCGUGGAGGAUGAAGGUUUUCGGAUUGUAAACCCCUUUUGUUAGAGAAGAUAAUGACGGUAUCUAACGAAUAAGCACCGGCUAACUCCGUGCCAGCAGCCGCGGUAAUACGGCGGGUGCAAGCGUUACUCGGAAUGACUGGGCGUAAGGAGCGCGUAGGCGGGAUAGCAAGUCAGAUGUGAAAUCCUAUGGCUUAACCAUAGAACUGCAUUUGAAACUGUUAUUCUAGAGUAUGGGAGAGGUAGGUGGAAUUCUUGGUGUAGAGGUGAAAUCCGUAGAGAUCAAGAGGAAUA
This 353-nucleotide ribosomal RNA is filed under the name uncultured bacterium. RNAcentral's name for it is "partial 16S ribosomal RNA". It matches the Rfam family "Bacterial small subunit ribosomal RNA", at positions 338 to 708 of the family's 1533-position model. The record is from RNAcentral.